GUGCUCGCUUUGGCAGCACAUAUACUAAAAUUG
RNAcentral lists this small nuclear RNA (33 nucleotides) under Cervus elaphus hippelaphus. The record is from RNAcentral. Lineage: Eukaryota; Metazoa; Chordata; Mammalia; Artiodactyla; Cervidae.